Molecule: ribosomal RNA, 380 nt
Filed under: uncultured bacterium
Lineage: Bacteria
Description: bacterial SSU rRNA
Rfam family: Bacterial small subunit ribosomal RNA
Source: RNAcentral
GACGAACGCUGGCGGCGUGCUUAAUACAUGCAAGUCAACGAUUUUUAAGAUAGCAAUAUUUUAAAAAUAGUGGCGCACGGGUGAGUAACACGUAGAUAAUCUGCCUUUAGGUCUGACAUAACUCGUCGAAAGACGGGCUAAUAUCAGAUAAAACAAUAACUUGGCAUCAAGUAAUUGUCAAAGCUUCGGCGCCCAAAGAUGAGUCUGCGGACCAUUAGGUAGUUGGUGGAUUAACAGCCCACCAAGCCAACGAUGGAUAGCUGGUCUGAGAGGAAGAUCAGCCACACUGGAACUGAGACACGGUCCAGAUCCUACGGGAGGCAGCAGUAAGGAAUAUUGCUCAAUAGGGAGGAAAAUACCUGAAGCAGCAACGACCGCGU